This 253-nucleotide ribosomal RNA is filed under the name uncultured bacterium. Its description in RNAcentral is "partial 16S ribosomal RNA". It matches the Rfam family "Bacterial small subunit ribosomal RNA", at positions 524 to 776 of the family's 1533-position model. The record is from RNAcentral.
UACAGAGGAUGCAAGCGUUAUCCGGAAUUAUUGGGCGUAAAGCGUCUGUAGGUGGCUUUUUAAGUCCGCCGUCAAAUCCCAGGGCUCAACUCUGGACAGGCGGUGGAAACUACCAAGCUGGAGUACGGUAGGGGCAGAGGGAAUUUCCGGUGUAGCGGUGAAAUGCGUAGAUAUCGGAAGGAACACCAGUGGCGAAAGCGGCUUCCUGGUCCGACACCGACGUUCAGGCACGAAAGCGUGGGGAGCAAACAGG